This 363-nucleotide ribosomal RNA is filed under the name uncultured bacterium. RNAcentral describes it as "bacterial SSU rRNA". It matches the Rfam family "Bacterial small subunit ribosomal RNA", at positions 29 to 381 of the family's 1533-position model. The record is from RNAcentral.
AAUGAACGCUGGCGGCGCGCCUAAUACAUGCAAGUCGAGCGAGAAGACGUAGCAAUACGUUUGUAAAGCGGCGAACGGGUGAGGAAUACAUGGGUAACCUACCCUCGAGUGGGGAGUAACUAGCCGAAAGGUUAGCUAAUACCGCGUACGCUUCUUGGACUUCGGUUCAGGGAGGGAAAGACGAUGCCGAGGGUAUCGCGCUCUUGGAUGGGCUCAUGUCCUAUCAGCUUGUUGGGAGGUAACGGCUCACCAAGGCUUCGACGGGUAGCUGGUCUGAGAGGACGAUCAGCCACACUGGCACUGCGACACGGGCCAGACUCCUACGGGAGGCAGCAGUAAGGAAUAUUGCGCAAUGGGCGAAAG